ACACAGACCCUUCUCAGCCCACAUCACAGGUAACACACACAGACCCUUCUCAGCCCACAUCACAGGUAACGCACACAGACCCUUCUCAGCCCACAUCACAGGUAACGCACACAGACCCUUCUCAGCCCACAUCACAGGUAACGCACACAGACCCUUCUCAGCCCACAUCACAGGUAACACACACAGACCCUUCUCAGCCCACAUCACAGGUAACACACAGACCCUUCUCAGCCCACAUCACAGGUAACACACACACACAGACCCUUCUCAGCCCACAUCACAGGUAACACACACAGACCCUUCUCAGCCCACAUCACAGGUAACACACACACAGACCCUUCUCAGCCCACAUCACAGGUAACACACACAGACCCUUCUCAGCCCACAUCACAGGUAACACACACAGACCCUUCUCAGCCCACAUCACAGGUAACACACACAGACCCUUCUCAGCCCACAUCACAGGUAACACACACAGACCCUUCUCAGCCCACAUCACAGGUAACACACAGACCCUUCUCAGCCCACAUCACAGGUAACACACACACAGACCCUUCUCAGCCCACAUCACAGGUAACACACACACACAGACCCUUCUCAGCCCACAUCACAGGUAACACACACACACAGACCCUUCUCAGCCCACAUCACAGGUAACACACGCACACAGACCCUUCUCAGCCCACAUCACAGGUAACACACACACACAGACCCUUCUCAGCCCACAUCACAGGUAACACACGCACCCAGACCCUUCUCAGCCCACAUCACAGGUAACACACACACAGACCCUUCUCAGCCCACAUCACAGGUAACACACACACAGACCCUUCUCAGCCCACAUCACAGGUAACACACACACAGACCCUUCUCAGCCCACAUCACAGGUAACACACACACAGACCCUUCUCAGCCCACAUCACAGGUAACACACACACACAGACCCUUCUCAGCCCACAUCACAGGUAACACACACACACAGACCCUUCUCAGCCCACAUCACAGGUAACACACACACACACAGACCCUUCUCAGCCCACAUCACAGGUAACACACACACACAGACCCUUCUCAGCCCACAUCACAGGUAACACACACACACACAGACCCUUCUCAGCCCACAUCACAGGUAACACACACACAUCCCCUUCUCAUGUUCUGU
Long non-coding RNA from Oncorhynchus nerka (sockeye salmon), 1162 nucleotides. RefSeq lists it as uncharacterized. The transcript is spliced from 3 exons. The record is from RefSeq and is a predicted model, not a curated record. NCBI's taxonomy places the organism in Eukaryota, Metazoa, Chordata, Actinopteri, Salmoniformes, Salmonidae.